This 233-nucleotide ribosomal RNA is filed under the name uncultured bacterium. RNAcentral describes it as "partial 16S ribosomal RNA". It matches the Rfam family "Bacterial small subunit ribosomal RNA", at positions 524 to 755 of the family's 1533-position model. The record is from RNAcentral.
UACGUAGGGUGCAAGCGUUAAUCGGAAUUACUGGGCGUAAAGCGUGCGCAGGCGGUUUGGUAAGACAGAUGUGAAAUCCCCGGGCUCAACCUGGGAAUUGCAUUUGUGACUGCCCGACUAGAGUGUGUCAGAGGGGGGUAGAAUUCCACGUGUAGCAGUGAAAUGCGUAGAGAUGUGGAGGAAUACCGAUGGCGAAGGCAGCCCCCUGGGAUAACACUGACGCUCCAUGCACG